Molecule: ribosomal RNA, 253 nt
Filed under: uncultured bacterium
Lineage: Bacteria
Description: partial 16S ribosomal RNA
Rfam family: Bacterial small subunit ribosomal RNA
Source: RNAcentral
UACAGAGGUCCCGAGCGUUGUUCGGAUUCACUGGGCGUAAAGGGUGCGCAGGUGGCAUGGUAAGUUCGAUGUGAAAGCCCCGGGCUUAACCCGGGAAAGGCAUUGGAUACUACUGUGCUGGAGGAUUGGAGGGGGGACUGGAAUUCUUGGUGUAGCAGUGAAAUGCGUAGAUAUCAAGAGGAACACCAGUGGCGAAGGCGAGUCCCUGGACAAUACCUGACACUGAGGCACGAAAGCCAAGGGAGCAAACAGG